Peromyscus maniculatus bairdii (prairie deer mouse) is the source of this 1022-nucleotide long non-coding RNA. RefSeq lists it as uncharacterized. The record is from RefSeq and is a predicted model, not a curated record. Lineage: Eukaryota; Metazoa; Chordata; Mammalia; Rodentia; Cricetidae.
GUGAAGAGCCAUUUGGUCCAGGGAACCGGAAGUAGAGGAGGAAGAGCCCGGCAUGCCGGUCAUCUACCUGUGUGCCCGCUCUCAGCAGAGCACUUCACACACCCAGCUGCCUGUCAGGAAAACAGUCUCUCCAGACACCUCGCUCUUUCAGGUAUACCUAGUCAUUGGAGAGACUGGUGUUGUGGCAGGAGACACACAGUGUGUGCCUGGACAUGGUAUGCCCAGCUGUGGCUUCACAUCUUACAAGCACGUGACUUUUGCGACUUACCUGAGUUCUGAGCCUGCGUUUCCCAUCAAUUAUAUGGAGAUAAGGAUAUCUCCUCAAAGUGCUUACGCUUUUAUGAGGACUGUGGAAAUGCAUUCAUGCAACGUCUGAUGCAGCAUUACACAUACAGAUUAGGAAGGGAAAACCAGAGCACAGAACACAGAGAUUGUACAGUAGAGUCUAAUUGGUGUGCAGAGAACUAAUUCGAACCACCGCUUUCUAGAUUGUGAACUUGUAGCCUCCCUGCUCCCCACCACCUCCCUGUCUAGACCAUUGCGCUGAUUUCACAAAAGUGUUUGUUGGACUGUCAAGAAAUGGAGGAAAACGCUUUCCCUCUUGUGUUGGAUUGUGAUAUUAUUGCAGAGGAAGAUCUGGUCAGAGCUGCUCAGGGAGCAUGGAAGGGCGUUGAUGGGCCUCAGCUCCUGACGCUCUGGGCAGUGGGAGGGAUUAUGUUAGUCACGAGAAAAGGACAUCUGCAAAGUGGAAUUAUUUCACUGGGCUUUGGGAAUCAGAACAUCACGGCAGAAAGUGUGUGGUAGAGACAGCGGCUCACCUCAUGACAGCCAAAAGAUGAAGAGGAAAGGGGAUGAAAUACACCCCUCAACAACUUGAUGCCAGUGACCUGCUUCCUCCAACUGCAUGCCCUUCUAAUGUCUCCACCAUUUCUCAAGAGCGCACUCAACUGUGGGAUCCAUAAAUGAGGAGGGAACCACCGAGACCCAAUUUCCUCUCAGGACUCCAUGCCUGAGCUGCCACA